GGGAUUGCCCUAGUAACGGCGAGUGAAGCGGCAACAGCUCAAAUUUGAAAUCUGGCGCAAGCCCGAGUUGUAAUUUGUAGAGGAUGCUUCUGGGUAGCGACCGGUCUAAGUUCCUUGGAACAGGACGUCAUAGAGGGUGAGAAUCCCGUAUGUGACCGGCCCGCACCCUUGACGUAGCUCCUUCGACGAGUCGAGUUGUUUGGGAAUGCAGCUCUAAAUGGGAGGUAAAUUUCUUCUAAAGCUAAAUACCGGCCAGAGACCGAUAGCGCACAAGUAGAGUGAUCGAAAGAUGAAAAGUACUUUGGAAAGAGAGUUAAAAAGCACGUGAAAUUGUUGAAAGGGAAGCGCCUGCAAUCAGACUUCGCGGCAGUGUUCCGCCGGCCUUCUGGCCGGUUCAUUCUCUGUCGCGAGGCCAUCAUCGUCUCGGCCCGCUGGAUAAGACCUUGGGAAUGUAGCUCGCCUUCGGGGGAGUGUUAUAGCUCAUGGUGAUGCAGCGAGGCUGGGGCGAGGUCCGCGCUUCGGCAAGGAUGAUGGCGUAAUAGUUGUCGGCGGCCCGUCUUGAAACACGGACCAAGGAGUCUAACAUCUAUGCGAGUGUUCGGGUGUCAAACCCCUACGCGUAAUGAAAGUGAACGGAGGUGGGAACCGCAAGGUGCACCAUCGACCGAUCCUGAUGUCCUCGGAUGGAUUUGAGUAAGAGCAUAGCUGUUGGGACCCGAAAGAUGGUGAACUAUGCCUGAAUAGGGUGAAGCCAGAGGAAACUCUGGUGGAGGCUCGCAGCGGUUCUGACGUGCAAAUCGAUCGUCAAAUUUGGGUAUAGGGGCG
RNAcentral lists this ribosomal RNA (825 nucleotides) under Sphaerulina sp. RNAcentral's name for it is "partial large subunit ribosomal RNA". It matches the Rfam family "Eukaryotic large subunit ribosomal RNA", at positions 71 to 925 of the family's 3401-position model. Lineage: Eukaryota; Fungi; Ascomycota; Dothideomycetes; Mycosphaerellales; Mycosphaerellaceae. The record is from RNAcentral.